Molecule: ribosomal RNA, 460 nt
Filed under: uncultured bacterium
Lineage: Bacteria
Description: partial 16S ribosomal RNA
Rfam family: Bacterial small subunit ribosomal RNA
Source: RNAcentral
CCUACGGGGGGCAGCAGUGAGGAAUAUUGGUCAAUGGACGAGAGUCUGAACCAGCCAAGUAGCGUGCAGGAUGACUGCCCUAUGGGUUGUAAACUUCUUUUAUACGGGAAUAAAAUAGGGCAUGCAUACUCUUUUGUAUGUACCAUAUGAAUAAGGACCGGCUAAUUCCGUGCCAGCAGCCGCGGUAAUACGGAGGAUCCGGGCGUUAUCCGGAUUUAUUGGGUUUAAAGGGAGCGUAGGUGGAUUGUUAAGCCCGUUGUGAAAGUUCGCGGCUCAACCGUGGAAUUGCAGUUGGAACUGGCAGUCUUGAGUACGGUAGAGGUAGGCGGAAUUCGUGGUGUAGCGGUGAAAUGCUUAGAUAUCACGAAGAACUCCGAUUGCGAAGGCAGCACACUGCACUGCAACUGACGCUGAUGCUCGAAGGUGUGGGUAUCGAACAGGAUUAGAUACCCCUGUAGUC